RNAcentral lists this ribosomal RNA (2548 nucleotides) under Escherichia coli. RNAcentral's name for it is "partial 23S ribosomal RNA". It matches the Rfam family "Bacterial large subunit ribosomal RNA", at positions 397 to 2925 of the family's 2925-position model. Lineage: Bacteria; Pseudomonadati; Pseudomonadota; Gammaproteobacteria; Enterobacterales; Enterobacteriaceae. The record is from RNAcentral.
CUGUGAGCUCGAUGAGUAGGGCGGGACACGUGGUAUCCUGUCUGAAUAUGGGGGGACCAUCCUCCAAGGCUAAAUACUCCUGACUGACCGAUAGUGAACCAGUACCGUGAGGGAAAGGCGAAAAGAACCCCGGCGAGGGGAGUGAAAAAGAACCUGAAACCGUGUACGUACAAGCAGUGGGAGCACGCUUAGGCGUGUGACUGCGUACCUUUUGUAUAAUGGGUCAGCGACUUAUAUUCUGUAGCAAGGUUAACCGAAUAGGGGAGCCGAAGGGAAACCGAGUCUUAACUGGGCGUUAAGUUGCAGGGUAUAGACCCGAAACCCGGUGAUCUAGCCAUGGGCAGGUUGAAGGUUGGGUAACACUAACUGGAGGACCGAACCGACUAAUGUUGAAAAAUUAGCGGAUGACUUGUGGCUGGGGGUGAAAGGCCAAUCAAACCGGGAGAUAGCUGGUUCUCCCCGAAAGCUAUUUAGGUAGCGCCUCGUGAAUUCAUCUCCGGGGGUAGAGCACUGUUUCGGCAAGGGGGUCAUCCCGACUUACCAACCCGAUGCAAACUGCGAAUACCGGAGAAUGUUAUCACGGGAGACACACGGCGGGUGCUAACGUCCGUCGUGAAGAGGGAAACAACCCAGACCGCCAGCUAAGGUCCCAAAGUCAUGGUUAAGUGGGAAACGAUGUGGGAAGGCCCAGACAGCCAGGAUGUUGGCUUAGAAGCAGCCAUCAUUUAAAGAAAGCGUAAUAGCUCACUGGUCGAGUCGGCCUGCGCGGAAGAUGUAACGGGGCUAAACCAUGCACCGAAGCUGCGGCAGCGACGCUUAUGCGUUGUUGGGUAGGGGAGCGUUCUGUAAGCCUGCGAAGGUGUGCUGUGAGGCAUGCUGGAGGUAUCAGAAGUGCGAAUGCUGACAUAAGUAACGAUAAAGCGGGUGAAAAGCCCGCUCGCCGGAAGACCAAGGGUUCCUGUCCAACGUUAAUCGGGGCAGGGUGAGUCGACCCCUAAGGCGAGGCCGAAAGGCGUAGUCGAUGGGAAACAGGUUAAUAUUCCUGUACUUGGUGUUACUGCGAAGGGGGGACGGAGAAGGCUAUGUUGGCCGGGCGACGGUUGUCCCGGUUUAAGCGUGUAGGCUGGUUUUCCAGGCAAAUCCGGAAAAUCAAGGCUGAGGCGUGAUGACGAGGCACUACGGUGCUGAAGCAACAAAUGCCCUGCUUCCAGGAAAAGCCUCUAAGCAUCAGGUAACAUCAAAUCGUACCCCAAACCGACACAGGUGGUCAGGUAGAGAAUACCAAGGCGCUUGAGAGAACUCGGGUGAAGGAACUAGGCAAAAUGGUGCCGUAACUUCGGGAGAAGGCACGCUGAUAUGUAGGUGAAGUCCCUCGCGGAUGGAGCUGAAAUCAGUCGAAGAUACCAGCUGGCUGCAACUGUUUAUUAAAAACACAGCACUGUGCAAACACGAAAGUGGACGUAUACGGUGUGACGCCUGCCCGGUGCCGGAAGGUUAAUUGAUGGGGUCAGCGCAAGCGAAGCUCUUGAUCGAAGCCCCGGUAAACGGCGGCCGUAACUAUAACGGUCCUAAGGUAGCGAAAUUCCUUGUCGGGUAAGUUCCGACCUGCACGAAUGGCGUAAUGAUGGCCAGGCUGUCUCCACCCGAGACUCAGUGAAAUUGAACUCGCUGUGAAGAUGCAGUGUACCCGCGGCAAGACGGAAAGACCCCGUGAACCUUUACUAUAGCUUGACACUGAACAUUGAGCCUUGAUGUGUAGGAUAGGUGGGAGGCUUUGAAGUGUGGACGCCAGUCUGCAUGGAGCCGACCUUGAAAUACCACCCUUUAAUGUUUGAUGUUCUAACGUUGACCCGUAAUCCGGGUUGCGGACAGUGUCUGGUGGGUAGUUUGACUGGGGCGGUCUCCUCCUAAAGAGUAACGGAGGAGCACGAAGGUUGGCUAAUCCUGGUCGGACAUCAGGAGGUUAGUGCAAUGGCAUAAGCCAGCUUGACUGCGAGCGUGACGGCGCGAGCAGGUGCGAAAGCAGGUCAUAGUGAUCCGGUGGUUCUGAAUGGAAGGGCCAUCGCUCAACGGAUAAAAGGUACUCCGGGGAUAACAGGCUGAUACCGCCCAAGAGUUCAUAUCGACGGCGGUGUUUGGCACCUCGAUGUCGGCUCAUCACAUCCUGGGGCUGAAGUAGGUCCCAAGGGUAUGGCUGUUCGCCAUUUAAAGUGGUACGCGAGCUGGGUUUAGAACGUCGUGAGACAGUUCGGUCCCUAUCUGCCGUGGGCGCUGGAGAACUGAGGGGGGCUGCUCCUAGUACGAGAGGACCGGAGUGGACGCAUCACUGGUGUUCGGGUUGUCAUGCCAAUGGCACUGCCCGGUAGCUAAAUGCGGAAGAGAUAAGUGCUGAAAGCAUCUAAGCACGAAACUUGCCCCGAGAUGAGUUCUCCCUGACUCCUUGAGAGUCCUGAAGGAACGUUGAAGACGACGACGUUGAUAGGCCGGGUGUGUAAGCGCAGCGAUGCGUUGAGCUAACCGGUACUAAUGAACCGUGAGGCUUAACCUU